RNAcentral lists this ribosomal RNA (468 nucleotides) under uncultured bacterium. Its description in RNAcentral is "partial 16S ribosomal RNA". It matches the Rfam family "Bacterial small subunit ribosomal RNA", at positions 28 to 507 of the family's 1533-position model. The record is from RNAcentral.
GACGAACGCUGGCGGCGUGCUUAACACAUGCAAGUCGAACGGAAAGGCCCUGCUUUUGUGGGGUGCUCGAGUGGCGAACGGGUGAGUAACACGUGAGUAACCUGCCCUUGACUUUGGGAUAACUUCAGGAAACUGGGGCUCAUACCGGAUAGGAGCUCCUGCUGCAUGGUGGGGGUUGGAAAGUUUCGGCGGUUGGGGAUGGACUCGCGGGUUAUCAGCUUGUUGGUGGGGUAGUGGCUUACCAAGGCUUUGACGGGUAGCCGGCCUGAGAGGGUGACCGGCCACAUUGGGACUGAGAUACGGCCCAGACUCCUACGGGAGGCAGCAGUGGAGAAUAUUGCACAAUGGGCGGAAGCCUGAUGCAGCAACGCCGCGUGCGGGAUGACGGCCUUCGGGUUGUAAACCGCUUUCGCCUGUGACGAAGCGUGAGUGACGGUAAUGGGUAAAGAAGCACCGGCUAACUACGUG